AUCACCUUUCUAAAGUCAGGAUGGUAAAUAAUUUACAGGGUAAUCAGAUUCAAAACACAGAGAAUCCCUCUAGGCAAAACCUUAAGUUACAAAAAGGCUUAAAAACAGGAAUACACAUUCCCUCCAGCACAGCUUAUUUGCCAUUU
This is a long non-coding RNA of Dermochelys coriacea (leatherback sea turtle), 146 nucleotides long. RefSeq lists it as uncharacterized. The transcript is spliced from 3 exons. NCBI's taxonomy places the organism in Eukaryota, Metazoa, Chordata, Testudines, Dermochelyidae. The record is from RefSeq and is a predicted model, not a curated record.